GUGGUCUUGUGGUAUGAUUUGCAUGGCAAAAGUAAGGAACCUGGUAGGGAUUGUAGUUCCUUGCGGUUGUAAGUACUAAGCAGGAGGUAGUGAUUGAUGUAGUUGAGAAUGUUCCCUAUUUGUCUUUUGGUAACUUGUGUGUAUGGAUGCUGACUCAAGUUGUAUGCCCAGUAAUGUGAUGAUAGUGUCUGGGCCUUCUGUUUCAUA
Molecule: non-coding RNA, 207 nt
Organism: Pelobates cultripes (western spadefoot toad)
Lineage: Eukaryota; Metazoa; Chordata; Amphibia; Anura; Pelobatidae
Source: the annotation of a GenBank genome assembly